GGUAAAUCACUCUCUCAAGUCUCAACUUUAGCUUACCAGAUCUCUGUCUAAUUGCGAAACCCUGAUAUUAAUAGUUCUUCUUUAACCCUUUUUACUCGAAAAAAAAACAAAAUCUUCCUAAACCCAUAAGCUAGGUCCCAUGUGAAUGAUCAGAAAGGAUCCCAAGUAUUGGACUAAAGAACCCACUCAACAUAUGUGGUCUUCAGCA
Molecule: long non-coding RNA, 208 nt
Organism: Arabidopsis thaliana (thale cress)
Lineage: Eukaryota; Viridiplantae; Streptophyta; Magnoliopsida; Brassicales; Brassicaceae
Product: other RNA
Exons: 1
Source: RefSeq